AAUGGACGCAAGUCUGAUGGAGCAACGCCGCGUGAGUGAAGAAGGGUUUCGGCUCGUAAAGCUCUGUUGGUAGUGAAGAAAGAUAGAGGUAGUAACUGGCCUUUAUUUGACGGUAAUUACUUAGAAAGUCACGGCUAACUACGUGCCAGCAGCCGCGGUAGUACGUAGGUGGCAAGCGUUGUCCGGAUUUAUUGGGCGUAAAGCGAGUGCAGGCGGUUCAAUAAGUCUGAUGUGAAAGCCUUCGGCUCAACCGGAGAAUUGCAUCAGAAACUGUUGAACUUGAGUGCAGAAGAGGAGAGUGGAACUCCAUGUGUAGCGGUGGAAUGCGUAGAUAUAUGGAAGAACACCAGUGGCGAAGGCGGCUCUCUGGUCUGCAACUGACGCUGAGGCUCGAAAGCAUGGGUAGCGAACAGGAUUAGAUACCCUGGUAGUCCAUGCCGUAAACGAUGAGUGCUAAGUGUUGGGAGGUUUCCGCCUCUCAGUGCUGCAGCUAACGCAUUAAGCACUCCGCCUGGGGAGUACGACCGCAAGGUUGAAACUCAAAGGAAUUGACGGGGGCCCGCACAAGCGGUGGAGCAUGUGGUUUAAUUCGAAGCAACGCGAAGAACCUUACCAGGUCUUGACAUCCAGUGCAAACCUAAGAGAUUAGG
RNAcentral lists this ribosomal RNA (650 nucleotides) under Lactobacillus gasseri. RNAcentral's name for it is "bacterial SSU rRNA". It matches the Rfam family "Bacterial small subunit ribosomal RNA", at positions 370 to 1011 of the family's 1533-position model. The record is from RNAcentral. Lineage: Bacteria; Bacillati; Bacillota; Bacilli; Lactobacillales; Lactobacillaceae.